Molecule: ribosomal RNA, 906 nt
Filed under: uncultured Flavobacteriia bacterium
Lineage: Bacteria; Pseudomonadati; Bacteroidota; Flavobacteriia
Description: bacterial SSU rRNA
Rfam family: Bacterial small subunit ribosomal RNA
Source: RNAcentral
UGCAGUCGAGGGGCAGCAUGUCCCGACGCAAGUCGGGAUGAUGGCGACCGGCAAACGGGUGCGGAACACGUACAGAACCUUCCUUCGAGCGGGGAAUAGCCCAGAGAAAUUUGGAUUAAUACCCCAUAGUAUAUUGAAGAGGCAUCUCUUUAAUAUUAAAGAUUUAUCACUUGAAGAUGGCUGUGCGGCUGAUUAGAUAGUUGGCGGGGUAACGGCCCACCAAGUCUACGAUCAGUAACUGGUGUGAGAGCACGACCAGUCACACGGGCACUGAGACACGGGCCCGACUCCUACGGGAGGCAGCAGUAAGGAAUAUUGGGCAAUGGAGGCAACUCUGACCCAGCCAUGCCGCGUGGAGGAUGAAGGCCCUCUGGGUUGUAAACUUCUUUUAUUUGGGACGAAAAAGGGCUUUUCUAAGUCAACUGACGGUACCAGAUGAAUAAGCACCGGCUAACUCCGUGCCAGCAGCCGCGGUAAUACGGAGGGUGCAAGCGUUAUCCGGAUUCACUGGGUUUAAAGGGUGCGUAGGUGGGUUGGUAAGUCAGUGGUGAAAUCCCCGAGCUUAACUUGGGAACUGCCAUUGAUACUAUCAGUCUUGAAUAUUGUGGAGGUCAGCGGAAUAUGUCAUGUAGCGGUGAAAUGCUUAGAUAUGACAUAGAACACCAAUUGCGAAGGCAGCUGGCUACACAUAUAUUGACACUGAGGCACGAAAGCGUGGGGAUCAAACAGGAUUAGAUACCCUGGUAGUCCACGCCCUAAACUAUGGAUACUCGACAUACGCGAUACACAGUGUGUGUCUGAGCGAAAGCAUUAAGUAUCCCACCUGGGAAGUACGAUCGCAAGAUGAAACUCAAAGGAAUUGGCGGGGGUCCGCACAAGCGGUGAGCAUGUGGUUUAAUUCGAUGA